Molecule: ribosomal RNA, 491 nt
Filed under: Centipeda noxia
Lineage: Bacteria; Bacillati; Bacillota; Negativicutes; Selenomonadales; Selenomonadaceae
Description: bacterial SSU rRNA
Rfam family: Bacterial small subunit ribosomal RNA
Source: RNAcentral
GACGAACGCGGCGGCGUGCUUAACACAUGUAAGUCGAACGGAGCGAAUGAAAGCUUGCUUUUAUAAGCUUAGUGGCAAACGGGUGAGUAACACGUAGGCAACCUGCCGACAGGAUGGGGACAACAUUCCGAAAGGAAUGCUAAUACCGAAUGAAGCGCAGGAGAGGCAUCUCUCCUGCGUGAAGGAUGGCCUCUAUAUAUAAGCUAUCACCUGUCGAUGGGCCUGCGUCUGAUUAGCUGGUAGGUGAGGUAACGGCUCACCUAGGCGACGAUCAGUAGCCGGUCUGAGAGGAUGAACGGCCACAUUGGGACUGAGACACGGCCCAGACUCCUACGGGAGGCAGCAGUGGGGAAUCUUCCGCAAUGGGCGCAAGCCUGACGGAGCAACGCCGCGUGAGUGAAGAAGGUCUUCGGAUCGUAAAGCUCUGUUGAUGGGGACGAACGUGCCUAAUGCGAAUAGUUUAGUAAUGACGUACCCUCGAGAGCCACGCA